GACGAACGCUGGCGGCGUGCUUAACACAUGCAAGUCGAACGCUGAAGCUCAGCUUUUGUUGGGUGGAUGAGUGGCGAACGGGUGAGUAACACGUGAGUAACCUGCCCCCUUCUUUGGGAUAACGCCCGGAAACGGGUGCUAAUACUGGAUAUUCACUGGUCUUCGCAUGGGGGUUGGUGGAAAGGGUUUUUCUGGUGGGGGAUGGGCUCGCGGCCUAUCAGCUUGUUGGUGGGGUGAUGGCCUACCAAGGCUUUGACGGGUAGCCGGCCUGAGAGGGUGACCGGUCACAUUGGGACUGAGAUACGGCCCAGACUCCUACGGGAGGCAGCAGUGGGGAAUAUUGCACAAUGGGCGCAAGCCUGAUGCAGCGAUGCCGCGUGAGGGAUGGAGGCCGUCGGGUUGUGAACCUCUUUCGCUCAUGGUCAAGCCGCAACAAUGGUUGUGGUGAGGGUAGUGGGUAAAGAAGCGCCGGCUAACUACGUG
Molecule: ribosomal RNA, 483 nt
Filed under: uncultured bacterium
Lineage: Bacteria
Description: partial 16S ribosomal RNA
Rfam family: Bacterial small subunit ribosomal RNA
Source: RNAcentral